RNAcentral lists this ribosomal RNA (38 nucleotides) under Debaryomyces hansenii. RNAcentral's name for it is "partial 28S ribosomal RNA". RNAcentral also lists the same sequence under 32 other names. Lineage: Eukaryota; Fungi; Ascomycota; Pichiomycetes; Serinales; Debaryomycetaceae. The record is from RNAcentral.
UUGACCUCAAAUCAGGUAGGAUUACCCGCUGAACUUAA